RNAcentral lists this transfer RNA (71 nucleotides) under Mrakia frigida. RNAcentral describes it as "tRNA-Arg (TCG) (tRNA-Arg-TCG-2-1)". It matches the Rfam family "tRNA". Rfam says of the family: Transfer RNA (tRNA) molecules are approximately 80 nucleotides in length. Their secondary structure includes four short double-helical elements and three loops (D, anti-codon, and T loops). Lineage: Eukaryota; Fungi; Basidiomycota; Tremellomycetes; Cystofilobasidiales; Mrakiaceae. The record is from RNAcentral.
GCUGACGUGGCCUAAUGGCAGGGCAUCUGGUUUCGACCCAGAUGGUACUGGUUCGAAACCAGUCGUUAACA